AAAGAGAAGAUGUACAUUUAUAUUCCUCGGAGCUUUGGCAACCACUCUGGUGGUAACAUUGAGAUGUUAUCCAUUCUUCCAUCUUUAUAUGACAUUAAUUUCAGCGUUCAGUUUUUGUAAUGAUAACAAAACAUUCAUAGAUGAAUCAUAGAUAUUACUUUCUUACUUCCUUCCAUCUUUGUGGAUUAUGGACACAAACUAAGAACAACUCCAGGAUAGAUAAAUCAAACGUCUUUAUUUUUUAGUAUUUAUCACAGUAAAAUUUAUAUCUACAUGUAUCAUUUGGGGUUGAUUAAUGAAUUUGUUUGUAUUGCAGUCUGAAUUUGGAUAUAGUGGAGAUGACGGAGGUGCCAAGGAGACGUGAAUCAUCAUGUUUGGCCGGCUGAGCUGUAAUUUGAACAACUUUGUAUCAUUCCUUCUAAUUCUUCUAUGAAAGUUUGUCCUUAGAUUUUCAGACUUUCUCAUUCAUCCUGUGGAUAACGUUUCUUGGUAGAAUUAACCCACGAUCCGGGGAGUACCAUUUUGCUGCAAAGCUCCCCUUAAAGAGAUUUAACACUGCUGCAUGCUUAUGGCCGGGUUCAAACGAGGACUUCUGGUUAAGCUGGAAGAGUCCCUUACCAUAUCAACUAUGGAUAAUUUUUUUUACAUACAUGUAUCUGAGGAACUUGAGGAACCUAAGUUAUAGUCUGACUUAGCAUACAAGAUUAUUUGUAUCACUUUUUUUUGGAUAUGUUUCAUGAUUUUGAUAAUUGAGAGAGACACAUUUAAUUUGUUUUGCAGCAUGUUUCAUAUUGAGUACAAGAUCUUGUAGACGGAAUGGAAGUUUUGCAGACUGUGUUCUUAUGCUUUAAUUUGGUCAGCUGUCUACUAAUGACUUCAUAUUUCAUUCUUUUUUGUUGAUACUCAGCAAAAAAUUGUGAUGUUAAAACUUAUCUAUAUUAGGUUGAAGCUUAAAUUGUGAUGUUUCAUAUUGAGUACAGGAUCUUAUAGACUCGAUGGUAGUUUUGCAGGCUGUGUUCUUAUGCUUUAAUUUGGUCAGCUCUCUACUUAAAAUGACUUCAUAUUUCAGUAUUUUUUGUUGAUACUCAGCAAAUUUGAACAAUUAUGUAUCAUUCCUUCUAAUUCUUCUAUGAAAGUUUGUCCUUAGAUUUUCAGACUUUCUCACUCAUCCCGGGGAUAACUUUUUUAUGUAAAACUAACCCACGAGUCAAGGAGGACCAUUAUGCUGCAAAACUCUCCUUCAAGAGAUUAAACACUGCUGCAUGUCUAGGGCUAGGAGAUUUAAUGCUGCUGCAUGCUUAGGUCCGGGUUUAAACGAGGACUUCUGGUUAUGCUGGUAGAGUCCCUUACCAUAUCAACCAGAGAUAAUCUUUUUUACACACAUGUAUCUGAGGAACUUGAGGAACCUUAGCAUACAAGAUUAUUUAUGAAACUAAAAAUCAAUUCAACCAUAUGGGUAUCCCUCAAAGAGUCUGCAACUGGAGCAAGAACUUGACUUAAAGUGGAGCCUAGUUGAGCAGAAGACGUUGCAAUUGGUUUUUGUCGUUGUGAUUGUACUUUCAUCCGGUGAUCUCUAGAGCCUAGUUGAGCAGAAGACGUUGCAAUUGGUUUUUGUCGUUGUGAUUGUACUUUCAUCCGGUGAUCUCUAAUACGACUAUUGAUUCUUCAUGUUUACUUGUAUAUAUUAAGAUCUUGCUUUCUCGUUUUCUUGGUUUGUUGAUAGGGGUCACAUGGAAUAUGUACAUUGAGAACUGAUUAGGUGAUUGUCAUAGACAUUUUGCUUGAUUCAUUGGAGAAAGGCUCUGUAUUUCGUGGAAUUUUAAUAUUUGCGUUUAACAGGUCAUUUUUUCGUUAAAGGUACACUUGAUUUGAAAUAUAGUUGUCCUAUGCGAGUGUAAUGAUUGAAUGUUGAUUUUUGUGUAUUGCAGAAGCAAUGCCAAUAUUAGGGGUGCUUUAGUAUUUGUUAUGUAGUACAUGUUCAACUCUUUCUUGACUAAGGUGUGUCUGUUUUGCUAUAUUCUUUUUUUGUUGUGUUUUUGUUGUUAUAUUUAUGAUUAUGAUACUCCUAAGAAGAUAGCCUCUUUGUUACAGUUGGCUCCCGAAGGACUUCUUUAUUUUUAGAGGCGGCCAAAUUUGUGUCAUUUCAUAUGAGUACAUGCCAUUACAAAAUGGUUGGGAAAUUUGUUCCAAUGAAUCAUCAUCCGAAGACUCUUUACAUUUCAGUCUUUGUUUGAUUUGAUAGUUAGCCUCUACUUUUGUCAGAUCCUUUGAGUUUUCAUCUGUGGAUGUUACAGUGGAGAUGGCCUAUAAAUGUAGGUUAGCUUUGGAACAUGUGUUAGGCAUACUAGGUUCACAUACUUUGCAUUCUGUUUAGUGAUAAAACAUGUAAUUUCUUUCCUGCGUAUAACACAUAAUCUCCAAAUGGCUACUGUUGUAUUUCAUCUGGUGAUCUCUACUUUGGCCAUAAAGUCUUUACGUUUCUCCAUGAUUUCUUUAUUCAAAAUCUAGUUUUCUUGAUUUCUUCAUGACUUCCUUUUUCGUGUUACAGGGCGAUAUAUAUUGUGGAAGCUGUGGCCAGAUUUAUCAAGGACAUUUUGCUUUUUGUUUUACAGGUGAGAGAUGCUAUGAAUGUACCGUGGUAUUUGAAAGUUAUGGUUAACAUUAUGAAGGAGAUGCUUUAGUUUAAAACAUUGGAUUAAUUAGUCACGUUUGCUCUCUCGUGGAUGUACUUGUUUUGGGGUGUCCUAAGAUGUGAAAAGUAGCAUUUAUGAUUUUUGUGUUUAGAAUUACGUGUUUAUGUGUGUUCAGUAUUUAUGGUUCUAUAUUACAUGUCCACCUCUUGGAUAAUUGAGACGUGCGUUUGUUUUGUAGAGUGAAGUAUGAUAUGUGUGUUCAGUAUUUAUGGUUCUAUAUUACAUGUCCACCUCUUGGAUAAUUGAGACGUGCGUUUGUUUUGUAGAGUGAAGUAUGAAUGUCUAGAAUGUUUAGAGUUUUGCACAAUGAAGUUUGAAUAUCAAUGUUUGGAGAUAUUUGAUGCAAUGGAGAAGAAAGUAGAGUUCGUUUUAAUCAAAU
This 3072-nucleotide long non-coding RNA is filed under the name Lathyrus oleraceus (garden pea). RNAcentral describes it as "Pisum sativum (pea) long non-coding RNA (PSAT_LNC039818)". The record is from RNAcentral. Lineage: Eukaryota; Viridiplantae; Streptophyta; Magnoliopsida; Fabales; Fabaceae.